This 476-nucleotide ribosomal RNA is filed under the name uncultured bacterium. RNAcentral describes it as "bacterial SSU rRNA". It matches the Rfam family "Bacterial small subunit ribosomal RNA", at positions 28 to 507 of the family's 1533-position model. The record is from RNAcentral.
GAUGAACGCUGGCGGCGUGCCUCAAACAUGCAAGUCGAGCGAGGCUAUGAAUUACCGCAAGGUAAGGCAUAGCCUAGCGGCGAACGGGUGAGUAACACGUGGGUAACCUACCUGGAAGACAGGGAUAACGAUUCGAAAGGGUCGCUAAUACCUGAUAAUAUCCAUCUGCCGGAUGGCGGAGGGAAGAAAGGGGAAACCCGCUUUCAGAUGGGCCCGCGUCCCAUCAGCUAGUUGGUAAGGUAAAGGCUUACCAAGGCGACGACGGGUAGCCGGUCUGAGAGGAUGUACGGCCACACUGGGACUGAGAUACCGGCCCAGACUCCUACGGGAGGCAGCAGUUGGGAAUCUUAGGCAAUGGACGAAAGUCUGACCUAGCGACGCCGCGUGAGGGAAGAAGGCCUUCGGGUUGUAAACCUCUGUCAUGGGGGAAGAAGGAAGUGACGGUACCCCAAGAGGAAGCCCCUGCUAACUACGUG